CAAUAGCGCCACAGAGUUUCUAAACCCAGAGGCACAACAUCGAGAGACUUUCGGGAACGCUUGUGAAGCAGACCAAGCAAACCAGACCGGGGGUUUGAGAAGUAAAUGACCCUAUGAGAGAAGGCCUUUGAGAGGAAGCCACAGUAUGUCCUCAAGGUGAAGAGGUGUUGAAGAGGCCCCCCAGGGGAGAAGUCUUCACAGGCGAACAUGAUUACGUCGCUUGGUUUUCGUGGUAACAGGAACUGCAAGAAGUCGGCCAUCAUGGAGCGGAAAUCCAGGUGCUGCCACAGGUAGGAAGUAGCAGUGCCAACACUGAGGGAGUUCUAUUAACCUGAGCUGCCGUGCACCCAGCUAUGGUCAGUGACGUGAACGGUAAAAAGCGGUGAGGGAAGAGCGCCCUUCUCAAUUGGAACAGUAAUCUGCGCCACUCAGUCAUGUUGUUAACAAAGCAGCAUGGUGCAUCAUUCAGAAACAUACAUCUAUU
Molecule: long non-coding RNA, 484 nt
Filed under: Salmo trutta (river trout)
Lineage: Eukaryota; Metazoa; Chordata; Actinopteri; Salmoniformes; Salmonidae
Description: lncRNA (ENSSTUG00000030095.1)
Source: RNAcentral